Prionailurus viverrinus (fishing cat) is the source of this 1412-nucleotide long non-coding RNA. RefSeq lists it as uncharacterized. The record is from RefSeq and is a predicted model, not a curated record. NCBI's taxonomy places the organism in Eukaryota, Metazoa, Chordata, Mammalia, Carnivora, Felidae. The transcript has 4 exons.
CGGGUUCAGACUCUCUUGACUUCUGGUGACCCCGCAACGGGGAGCUUUCUGCUUUGUCUGUGCUCCGGUGCUGAGGCAAUCAUUCCUCCAAAUCGGGUCUCUCAGUGAGCCGUGUUGACCGACCCUUUUCAGGGAAGGGGCGCGAGGGUCUGUGGCCACAGAAAAGUGGACGGCCUCGGCCAGAAAAACGGCAGAGGCUCCGGUUUCCCAAGCAAGCGAGUGAGCGCCGUUUCUAUUUUCUGGACUCACAGGACGCCCAGAAAUUUCCGUUUGCUCCCACGUUCACGUCGGCUCCAGAACUGAGCUGGAUCCGUGGUGGUGUUGAGACGGCCGAUGUUGGUAGGGCCGUGGCAGUGCCUGAAGCCACCCUUACGGGGCAACGUGGUCAGCUGGGUAACGGCCCCCCCAAAGAUAGUCCGUGUCCUAAAGCGUGGCGCCUGCGAACCCCGCCUUCUCCGGCCCCAAGACGACCUUGCAGAUGCGACCGAGUUCCAAUUUUGGGGGUGCGGAGAGUGUGUUGGGGGGUCUAGGUAGGCCCUGAACGCGAUCGCGAGUGUUCUCGGAGAUGGGGGAGGGGGAGAUUCCACGCAGAGAAGUAGAAGCCGUGUGGGCCCAGAGGCAGAGGCUGAGCCCCGGGGCCGUGAGUCGAGAAAAGGCAGCAGCUGUCAGAAACUGGAGGAGGGGAGGAAGUGGAGUCCCCCCUGGAGCCACCAGAGGAAGCCAGCGUGCUGACACCUUGAUUUUUAGCUCAGCAAAACGAGACGUCAGACUUCUGGCUUCUAGAACCGUGAGAGAAGAAAUUUCUGUCGCCGUAAGCCUCCCAGUUAGUGGUAGUUUGUUACAGCGGCCUUGGGACACGGACGCGGGGCUGCCGAGGACACGUGGAUGCUGUUGUUGGACGUGGCUCGCAGCAUCCAGGAGCCUCUAGCUGUGCUGGGGACGUUCCCCGCCGAGAACCUGGAGAGAACAGAGCUUGGGAGCCCUGCCCUUUGCUGGUGCCCGGGGCGGCCGGGCUCUAAGGCUCAUUGGGAAGGUCAUCAGCUGGUUCCUGGUCCCAGAUCCGGUUCCCUGGAGACAGACCUGAAGCAGGAUUUGUGUCCCGGCGGUAAAGGCCACGGGAGCAACCAGGACGGGUGAGGAAGGACAGAAGGAGAGACAACACCCCAGAGAUGCCGCUGUGAUAUUUAGGACGGAAGUACGUGCAUGUCCGCACGAUGCUAGUGGGUUCCACAACGUCUAUGACUAUCGGCUGCGCAGAAAAAUUGGCGAAAAGCUCAUCGCCGAGUCUAAGUCGCAGACAUAUGGGACGCAGUCGCUUCUACUAUGAAAAUUUCGUAACGACGGGGCGCCUGGGUGGUGCAGUCGGUUAAGCGUCCGACUUCAGCCAGGUCACGAUCUCGCGGUCCGGGAGU